ACACGUGGGUAACCUGCCUUAUAGUGGGGGAUAGCCUUUCGAAAGGAAGAUUAAUACCGCAUAAGAUUGUAGUAUCGCAUGAUAUAGCAAUUAAAGGAGCAAUUCGCUAUAAGAUGGACCCGCGUCGCAUUAGCUAGUAGGUGGGGUAACGGCUCACCUAGGUGACGAUCCCUAGCUGGUCUGAGAGGAUGACCAGCCACACUGGAACUGAGACACGGUCCAGACUCCUACGGGAGGCAGCAUG
RNAcentral lists this ribosomal RNA (244 nucleotides) under uncultured bacterium. RNAcentral's name for it is "partial 16S ribosomal RNA". It matches the Rfam family "Bacterial small subunit ribosomal RNA", at positions 113 to 353 of the family's 1533-position model. The record is from RNAcentral.